This 468-nucleotide ribosomal RNA is filed under the name uncultured bacterium. RNAcentral's name for it is "partial 16S ribosomal RNA". It matches the Rfam family "Bacterial small subunit ribosomal RNA", at positions 28 to 507 of the family's 1533-position model. The record is from RNAcentral.
GACGAACGCUGGCGGCGUGCUUAACACAUGCAAGUCGAACGGAAAGGCCCUGCUUGCAGGGUGCUCGAGUGGCGAACGGGUGAGUAACACGUGGGUGAUCUGCCCCUUAUUUUGGGAUAAGCCUGGGAAACUGGGUCUAAUACUGGAUAGGACCAUGCUGUAGGUGGUGUGGUGGAAAGAUUAGUUUCGGUAAGGGAUGAGCUCGCGGCCUAUCAGCUUGUGGUGGGGUAAUGGCCUACCAAGGCGUCGACGGGUAGCCGGCCUGAGAGGGUGGACGGCCACAUUGGGACUGAGAUACGGCCCAGACUCCUACGGGAGGCAGCAGUGGGGAAUAUUGCACAAUGGGCGCAAGCCUGAUGCAGCGACGCCGCGUGGGGGAUGACGGCCUUCGGGUUGUAAACUCCUUUCAGCCAUGACGAAGCCCUUGUGGUGACGGUAGUGGUAGAAGAAGCACCGGCUAACUACGUG